This 497-nucleotide ribosomal RNA is filed under the name uncultured bacterium. Its description in RNAcentral is "partial 16S ribosomal RNA". It matches the Rfam family "Bacterial small subunit ribosomal RNA", at positions 28 to 507 of the family's 1533-position model. The record is from RNAcentral.
GAUGAACGCUGGCGGCGUGCCUAAUACAUGCAAGUCGAGCGAACGGAAGCGUAGCUUGCUUUUCUGAUGUUAGCGGCGGCCGGGUGAGUAACACGUGGAUAACCUACCUAUAAGACUGGGAUAACUUCGGGAAACCGGAGCUAAUACCGGCUAAUAUUUUGAAACGCAUGGUUCAAAAGUGAAAGACGGUCUUGCCGUCACUUAUAGAUGGAUCCGCGCUGGCUUAGCUAGUUGGUAAUUUACCGGCUUACCAAUGCAACGAUGCAUAGCCGUCCUGAGAGGGUGAUCCUCCUCACUGGAGCUGAGAAGCGAUCCGGAUUCCGACGGGUGCCAACAGUGUGGAAUCUUGCGCAAUGUGCAAGAGCCUGACGGAGCAACGCAGCGUGAGUGAAGAUGGUCUUCGGAUCGUAAAACUCUGUUAUUAGGGAAGAACAUAUGUGUAAGUAAAUGUGCCCAUCUUGACGGUACGUAAUCAGAAAGCCACGGCUAACUACGUG